CCGAACCCACACCUGUUGAAAAAGGUCGGGAUGAGCUGUGGCUAGGGGUGAAAGGCCAAUCAAACUCGGAGAUAGCUGGUUCUCUGCGAAAUCUAUUUAGGUAGAGCGUCAUCCGAAUACCCUCGGGGGUAGAGCACUGGAUGGGCUAGGGGGUCCCAACGACUUACCAAACCUAACCAAACUCCGAAUACCGAGGAGUACUAGAUGGCAGACACACUGCGGGUGCUAAGGUCCGUAGUGGAGAGGGAAACAGCCCUGACCACCAGCUAAGGUCCCUAAGUUAUCACUAAGUGGGAAACGAUGUGGGAGUGCUUAGACAACCAGGAGGUUGGCUUAGAAGCAGCCACCCUUUAAAGAAAGCGUAAUAGCUCACUAGUCGAGUCGGCCUGCGCGGAAGAUGUAACGGGGCUAAAUCUAGUACCGAAGCUGCGGAUCUCGUAAGAGAUGGUAGAGGAGCGUUCUGUAAGUCUGUGAAGGUGAAUCGUAAGGUUUGCUGGAGAUAUCAGAAGUGCGAAUGCUGACAUGAGUAACGAUAAAGGGGGUGAAAAACCCCCUCGCUGAAAGACCAAGGGUUCCUGUCCAACGUUAAUCGGGGCAGGGUGAGUCGACCCCUAAGGCGAGGGCGAAAGCCGUAGUCGAUGGGAAACAGGUUAAUAUUCCUGUACCACCACGUGAUGCGAUGGAGGGACGGAGUAGGCUAGGUGAUCAGGGCGUUGGUUGUCCCUGUUCAAGGAUGUAGGCAGAGAGCUUAGGAAAAUCCGGGCUCUUAAUGCUGAGAUCUGAUGUCGAGUUUCUACGGAAACGAAGUCAUUGAUGCCAUGCUUCCAAGAAAAGCUUCUAAGCUUCAGUCACGUGGGAUCGUACCCGAAACCGACACAGGUGGUCAGGUAGAGAAUACUAAAGCGGUCGGGUGAACUGUGGUUAAGGAAUUCGGCAAAUUGCCCCCGUAACUUCGGGAGAAGUGG
Molecule: ribosomal RNA, 965 nt
Filed under: Ctenophora environmental sample
Lineage: Eukaryota; Metazoa; Ctenophora
Description: partial Bacterial large subunit ribosomal RNA
Rfam family: Bacterial large subunit ribosomal RNA
Source: RNAcentral